AAUCCUAUCCUCCCCUCAGUCACGUACCAGUCGUCGCACAAAUCCUAGCCCCCAUUCCCCUCGAUCCCCACAGUCUCUCCGCUCCCGUCACCACGUCCUCCGCCAUGGAGCCUCGCCGCCACGUGCGUCUCCCUUCUCCACCAUGCUGCCCUUCCACCUCGCCUUCCUCCUCUUCUUUGUCUAUGCGGCCAUCGGUGGCGGCUGGUUCCAAAUCGGGCGCGGAUUAGCCGAGCCCGGUGGUGAGGUGAAGGAGAAGGGUGGGCGGCCCGUCGCGAUGGGAUGGGGCUAGGGAAGAGGGAGGAGGCCGAAGGGUGAAGGAGCAGGCCGGCCCUCACGGUCACAUAGGCGCCGCCGCUGUCCAGGGUCGUUCGCCGUCACCGGCCUCACUCGCCUCGUCUCCUAUCUCUUCACCACUGCAUCCAUGUGAAUUUUUGGAGAAUGGUGCUCCGAUUUGGUCCCCAUGGUAGUAUCUUCCCUGAGUCUUCCUUCUUUGAUUUCUAACUUUAUGCUUUGAUCUGUUGUAUUGACAUAAAUUGUGAGGUCUACUGUUACACCAUGGUAUGUGUAGUGCUAACGGUUUCCUGCUGGGCAGCUGCAGGCCUGCAACCUUUAUAGAGGAGGAUUGCAGGUGUCGAUACAAUGGAGCAAUUUCUGGCUUUGUUGUUGGAGCAUAGCCUCGAUUAUGCAUGAUUUUGGGGAAAGUUCCUGGUGGUCCUAUCUCGGAUCAGUUCCUUUGCUUUCCUGCUAACCUUCUUUUCCUUCUUCAUCAGGUUUUGCUCUCUCCCUGUGUGCUACACAUUUCUGCUCUCCCCAGUAGCAAUUGGAUGUUAAUCUGCUAUGGGAAGCGGUGGUGCAUCAAGGUGCAAGGCAGCAACGACAUGUUCAUAGUACGCUAAAGGAUGAACUCCUACUUUUUCUGAUGCUAGCUCCUUGCUGCAGAUAUACCAGCCUGCUUACAUCUCCCAAGAUAUCCUCUUGGUCAAGGCAAUUGCACAUGAUGAAGCCACUCAUUUUAGUUGUAGGAUAUGAAUUGUGCUUAAACAUGAGUGCUCGCUCGCCGAACGUUGGCCCUCGGAUGAAUUCGACGCUUGAAUUGAGCUGACGAGCCCCAUGGGUGGAGCUGCAGGGGGUGAGAGGCGGAUAACAAUACGAGAAGGAGCAUGCCAUCGAGGAGUGCAAGCAGCGGCACUCCUCCGCAAUGGGGUAUGGCUGCAGGAUAGGGGACGUGGCCAACGACAGGAAGAAGGAGCAGGUCGUCGAGGACUACAAGCAGCAUGUUUCCUUUGACUGGAAGUCUGAAACUGAAGAUAGGGCAUAUUGUUUUGGUUCUGAGUGGCCGGAGAUAUUGUGGCUUGAUGUACCUAGAGCAGUCGGACCCUUCCAAGAUAGAAGAUCUUUGGGAUUGACGUUCUGAUGAGAAAGUAGCAUACGGAUGGAUGGACAUGAACUAUUCAGUGGUCGAACUGUGCUAUAUUUCUUUCAUUGAGGCGAGAGUGAUUCCAGUAGAUUUUGCUUGGCGUACUCGCCUUUUUUAUUAAAGUUGGGUGUCCGUCUUCUCUGCGGCAAGGAUCUGGGGAGUCAGAUUGUGGAUUACAUGUAGUGGGGAAGUAGAGAGGGGGACGAGGAAGAGGACACCGUUGGUGGCGUGCUAUAUCUCACUAGGCGACAAUGUCGAGAGGGUGCCUGGCAUCAAGAACCCGACAUGCUUUUCCGAGUGUUCGUUGAGGAAAUGACUUUAUUUAUUGGAAAAUGGCAAUAUCAUUUACAAGUACACAUGAAACAAACUAUUUUUCCUACACCUCUUUGUUCUGUGUGAUGGUGCUCUUGGUUGAGUGUGCUGACGAAAGAGAUUCCAUGCUACAAGCUAGAUCUAUGCUGUCGCGGCAACACAGGCCAAUACACAUUCAGGAAAUAUGUCACCAACUUCCCCAAGGUCCCGCAUCGUCUACUCAGGAUAUUCUUUGCCCCAAGCCCUACAGAAUAAUGCCCAGUCUAAUUUCAGCAGUGGGCAUGACAGCCUCAAACUUCUCUCUUCAAUAUUGAAGAAGCGGCUUACUCAGAUCAAUGGGCAUGCACUUAGAAAAAUAGCUAAAGAGUACGAGAUAUUCCUAGAGUAAAUAAAGGGCAUGCUGUGCUCAUAAGUUAGCAGAAGCAAAAUGCUAUUUAUUAUGCUCCUGUUGUAUCCUCGGACAUUUUCUUCCACCUACCAAUACCCCAGUAUUGAAUAUCUACUUUCCCAGCGUCGUACAGAAACUGAUGUUAGUAUUUGUGCA
This is a long non-coding RNA of Triticum aestivum (bread wheat), 2273 nucleotides long. RefSeq lists it as uncharacterized. The record is from RefSeq and is a predicted model, not a curated record. The transcript is spliced from 13 exons. NCBI's taxonomy places the organism in Eukaryota, Viridiplantae, Streptophyta, Magnoliopsida, Poales, Poaceae.